GAUGAACGCUGGCGGCGUGCCUAAUACAUGCAAGUCGAGCGAACAGACGAGGAGCUUGCUCCUCUGACGUUAGCGGCGGACGGGUGAGUAACACGUGGAUAACCUACCUAUAAGACUGGGAUAACUUCGGGAAACCGGAGCUAAUACCGGAUAAUAUAUUGAACCGCAUGGUUCAAUAGUGAAAGACGGUUUUGCUGUCACUUAUAGAUGGAUCCGCGCCGCAUUAGCUAGUUGGUAAGGUAACGGCUUACCAAGGCAACGAUUCGUAGCCGACCUGUGAGGGUGAUCGGCCACACUGGAACUGAGACACGGUCCAGACUCCUACGGGAGGCAGCAGUAGGGAAUCUUCCGCAAUGGGCGAAAGCCUGACGGAGCAACGCCGCGUGAGUGAUGAAGGUCUUCGGAUCGUAAAACUCUGUUAUUAGGGAAGAACAAAUGUGUAAGUAACUAUGCACGUCUUGACGGUACCUAAUCAGAAAGCCACGGCUAACUACGUG
This 497-nucleotide ribosomal RNA is filed under the name uncultured bacterium. Its description in RNAcentral is "partial 16S ribosomal RNA". It matches the Rfam family "Bacterial small subunit ribosomal RNA", at positions 28 to 507 of the family's 1533-position model. The record is from RNAcentral.